GCUUUGGUGGUUCAGUGGUAGCAUCCUCGCCUGCCACGCGGGAGACCUGGGUUCGAUUCAAGGCCAAUGCA
Molecule: transfer RNA, 71 nt
Filed under: Danio rerio (zebrafish)
Lineage: Eukaryota; Metazoa; Chordata; Actinopteri; Cypriniformes; Danionidae
Rfam family: tRNA
About the family: Transfer RNA (tRNA) molecules are approximately 80 nucleotides in length.
Source: Rfam by way of RNAcentral